UGGGUCGGCAAGACGGUCGCGUGGGUUGGUAACAACCACCGAGGAACGUCCGGGCUCCUUAGAGCAUGGCGGUGGGUAACACCCACCCGGGGCAACCCGCGAGAACAGUGCAACAGAAAACAGACCGCCACGUGCGCUUCGGCUCACGAGGUAAGGGUGAAACGGUGGUGUAAGAGACCACCAGCGGCCGGGGUGACCCGAUCGGCUAUGUAAACCUCGCCAGGAGCAAGGUCAGACAGAAUGCGUUACGGGCUGCUCGUCCAGCAUUCGGGUAGACCGCUAGAGGCGUGCGGCAACGUACGUCGUAGAUAGAUGGCCGUCGAUGGUGCUUCGGCACCGGGACAGAACCCGGCGUAACAGCCGGCCCAUUCC
This 372-nucleotide RNase P RNA is filed under the name Glaciihabitans arcticus. Its description in RNAcentral is "Bacterial RNase P class A". It matches the Rfam family "Bacterial RNase P class A". From Rfam's summary of the family: Ribonuclease P (RNase P) is a ubiquitous endoribonuclease, found in archaea, bacteria and eukarya as well as chloroplasts and mitochondria. Its best characterised activity is the generation of mature 5'-ends of tRNAs by cleaving the 5'-leader elements of precursor-tRNAs. Lineage: Bacteria; Bacillati; Actinomycetota; Actinomycetes; Micrococcales; Microbacteriaceae. The record is from Rfam by way of RNAcentral.